AGCAGCCGCGGUAAUUCCAGCUCCAAUAGCGUAUAUUAAAGUUGUUGCAGUUAAAAAGCUCGUAGUUGAAUUUCGAGAUCAAUUUGUCGGUCGUGCCUCGGUACGUACUGGCAUUAUUGAUUUCUCCCUUCUGAAGAACCGCGAUGUCAUUAAUUUGGUGUCGUGGGGAAUCAGGACUGUUACUUUGAAAAAAUUAGAGUGUUUAAAGCAGGCGCACGCUUGAAUACAUUAGCAUGGAAUAACGAAAUAGGACGUUUGAUUCUAUUUUGUUGGUUUCUAGGAUCGACGUAAUGAUUAAUAGGGAUAGUUGGGGGCAUUAGUAUUCAAUUGUCAGAGGUGAAAUUCUUGGAUUUAUUGAAGACUAACUACUGCGAAAGACAUUUGCCAAGGAUGUUUUCAUUAAUCAAGAACGAAAGUUAGGGGAUCGAAGACGAUCAGAUACCGUCGUAGUCUUAACCAUAAACUAUGCCGACUAGGGAUCGGAUGAUGUUAAUUUUUUAAUGACUCAUUC
RNAcentral lists this ribosomal RNA (511 nucleotides) under uncultured Glomus. RNAcentral's name for it is "SSU rRNA". It matches the Rfam family "Eukaryotic small subunit ribosomal RNA", at positions 569 to 1081 of the family's 1831-position model. The record is from RNAcentral. Lineage: Eukaryota; Fungi; Glomeromycota; Glomeromycetes; Glomerales; Glomeraceae.